Molecule: ribosomal RNA, 399 nt
Filed under: uncultured bacterium
Lineage: Bacteria
Description: bacterial SSU rRNA
Rfam family: Bacterial small subunit ribosomal RNA
Source: RNAcentral
AAUCUUAGACAAUGGGGGCAACCCUGAUCUAGCCAUGCCGCGUGAGUGACGAAGGCCCCAGGGUCGUAAAGCUCUUUCGCUGGGGAAGAUAAUGACUGUACCCAGUAAAGAAGUCCCGGCUAACUCCGUGCCAGCAGCCGCGGUAAUACGGAGGGGACUAGCGUUGUUCGGAAUUACUGGGCGUAAAGCGCACGUAGGCGGACAUUUAAGUCAGAGGUGAAAUCCCAGGGCUCAACCUUGGAACUGCCUUUGAUACUGGGUGUCUUGAGUUCGAGAGAGGUGAGUGGAAUUCCGAGUGUAGAGGUGAAAUUCGUAGAUAUUCGGAGGAACACCAGUGGCGAAGGCGGCUCACUGGCUCGAUACUGACGCUGAGGUGCGAAAGCGUGGGGAGCAAACAGG